This 686-nucleotide long non-coding RNA is filed under the name Struthio camelus australis. RNAcentral's name for it is "lncRNA (ENSSCUG00000002205.1)". Lineage: Eukaryota; Metazoa; Chordata; Aves; Struthioniformes; Struthionidae. The record is from RNAcentral.
CAACUACAGAAAUACGAACUAUGUUAAAAUAUUUGCGUUAUGUUGUGUGUUUGUAAUGCGUAUAUAGCUGGACUGUGGAUACAGAUCACAAGCCUCUUUCUUACUGUUAUGGCUUGCUAACAGAAACAGUCCAGUUCACGCUCUGCAUUUGCAAUGUGAAUUGCACCUUCUGGCGGAUUGCGAUAGCAAAUGGAGAUCAGAGAAGCAAAGCAGAAGGGAAGGAAGUGGAGGCCACGAGCACAGUAGUGCUACAGGAGAUAGAAAAGUGACCUACAAAUGUAGGUAUCCUGUUUUUGAUGGGAGCAGCUGACGCACAGAGCAGUGAAAUGCCUUGCCUGAAGUUGCUCUGCAAAUUGGUCACGGAGCCUGGAAUAACAUCCGUACUGCUCUGAGUGUUGCAGUAACGAUUCCUUAGGCUGGUAGGCAGCUCGGUGUGUCUGGACAGCAGCACGGCUGUCGUCGAAGAGCCACUCGCAGUUGUUGGCACACCACUUUGUGAGCAGAAGGAGAACGCUGGAGGAGCAAAACAACAGGAUCUUCUGGAUGGUCAGCGUUAUCUUAUGCAGCCUGGUGCCCUCUGUCUUCCAGAAUUUCUCCCCAAGGAGAGUGCCGGUGCCCGCUGCCUGCAGAGGCUUGGCAGCGCUGCCUUCCCGAAGGGAUGCCUUUCCUUUGGGGAUGUAACCUUG